UACAGAGGGCGCGAGCGUUGUCCGGAAUCACUGGGCGUAAAGGGCGCGUAGGCGGCCUGAUAAGUAGGGGGUGAAAUCCUGCGGCUUAACCGCAGGGCUGCCUUCUAAACUGUCAGGCUUGAGCACAGUAGAGGCAGGUGGAAUUCCCGGUGUAGCGGUGGAAUGCGUAGAGAUCGGGAAGAACAUCAGUGGCGAAGGCGGCCUGCUGGGCUGUUGCUGACGCUGAGGCGCGACAGCGUGGGGAGCAAACAGG
RNAcentral lists this ribosomal RNA (253 nucleotides) under uncultured bacterium. Its description in RNAcentral is "partial 16S ribosomal RNA". It matches the Rfam family "Bacterial small subunit ribosomal RNA", at positions 524 to 776 of the family's 1533-position model. The record is from RNAcentral.